Molecule: long non-coding RNA, 495 nt
Organism: Drosophila erecta
Lineage: Eukaryota; Metazoa; Arthropoda; Insecta; Diptera; Drosophilidae
Exons: 3
Source: RefSeq, a predicted model, not a curated record
CAACUGUGCAGUGUUGCACAACGCCAGUUGACCAUCGGAUCUAGACCGCUAAGAUCAAAAAUCAACAGAAAUAAUAUUUUACUUCCGAAUUUCCGAUUUGGGCCAAUUUCUGGGUAUUAAAUUGUUACGAUUCGCAGACAAAGGGCGCAGAGAAUCUGUGUUGUCAACAAUGGGAACACCCACACGCAUUGUGGCCAUGUGACAAGUCGCAUUUUCGGCAAGAUCAAGCGAUCACAACAAAGUGCCAACAGGGCCAAUAGGGCCAAAUUGUAUUCCCAACAAAUAAUUGCUUAUCGUUUGUUUGGCGGACGCAGGCUGCUGCGGCUGAUAAUGUCAUUAUCCUGGGCGCAGAGAAGCACAAGGAGUCCGAGUCCUGCUCGCCGCAUGACGUCACCAGUUGCAGGUAAUCUACUUAUUACAUUAAAGAGCGAGAAAUGGAAAGUGUGUAAUUUUGAUAUUUCACUUAUAAAACUUGUAUAAGGGACAAGCCGACAA